UAUAGAAUAUGAAAUGGCAAUUCUCGUUUGCAUUUGUUCAUAUUGUUACCGGUAGAAGUGGCAAUCUUCUGAUACGGGUUACAUCGCACGCUC
Molecule: long non-coding RNA, 93 nt
Organism: Salarias fasciatus (jewelled blenny)
Lineage: Eukaryota; Metazoa; Chordata; Actinopteri; Blenniiformes; Blenniidae
Exons: 3
Source: RefSeq, a predicted model, not a curated record